CCCCUCUUAAGAUCCUACCUGGAGAGUUCCCAGUACUCUACCAGUCUCGGCUACAGGAGGAAGAGUCAAGCAGAGCAUACACCCAUUCCAUUCCUAGCUUGGGCAGUGGCUAGUAAGUGAAAGGCAAUCUGCUACAAGU
Molecule: small nucleolar RNA, 139 nt
Filed under: Ornithorhynchus anatinus (platypus)
Lineage: Eukaryota; Metazoa; Chordata; Mammalia; Monotremata; Ornithorhynchidae
Source: RNAcentral